GGGGCAAUAGCUCAGCUGAUUAGAGCGCCGCCUUUGCAAGGCGGAGGUCCAGGGUUUGAAUCCCUGUUGCUCCACCA
Molecule: transfer RNA, 77 nt
Filed under: Candidatus Saccharimonadota bacterium
Lineage: Bacteria; Candidatus Saccharimonadota
Also listed under: 2 other names
Description: tRNA-Ala
Rfam family: tRNA
About the family: Transfer RNA (tRNA) molecules are approximately 80 nucleotides in length. Their secondary structure includes four short double-helical elements and three loops (D, anti-codon, and T loops). Further hydrogen bonds mediate the characteristic L-shaped molecular structure. tRNAs have two regions of fundamental functional importance: the anti-codon, which is responsible for specific mRNA codon recognition, and the 3' end, to which the tRNAs corresponding amino acid is attached (by aminoacyl-tRNA synthetases). tRNAs cope with the degeneracy of the genetic code in two manners: having more than one tRNA (with a specific anti-codon) for a particular amino acid; and 'wobble' base-pairing, i.e. permitting non-standard base-pairing at the 3rd anti-codon position.
Source: RNAcentral